AACGGCUCGUGCGUUAUGCAUUCUCCUACCAAUCCUUGGUCUAACCUGGAUCGCUGGAACCAUCACCAGUUUCACCCAAUCUGAUGCUGUCAUCUGCUUUCAGUACAUCUUCAUCAUCUGUUUCUCCCUCCAGGGUGUCUCCAUUUUGGUGUUUCACUGCUUGCUAGUUCCGGCUGUGAAAACAGCGCUGAAGCUUCGGCUUGGUCGUCGUGUUGGAGAUAGCACUUGGGCAAUUAGGAGGAGUUCCAAGUCAACC
Strongylocentrotus purpuratus (purple sea urchin) is the source of this 256-nucleotide long non-coding RNA. RefSeq lists it as uncharacterized. The record is from RefSeq and is a predicted model, not a curated record. NCBI's taxonomy places the organism in Eukaryota, Metazoa, Echinodermata, Echinoidea, Camarodonta, Strongylocentrotidae. The transcript has 3 exons.